GCGCCGAAAAUGAACGGGACUAAGCAUGAAGCCGAAACUCCAGACUGCACACAAUGGUGUGUGCAUUGGUAGGGGAGCGUUGGACGAGCGGUUGAAGCCAGAGGGUAACUACUGGUGGACGUGGUCCAAGUGAUUAUGCCGGGAUGAGUAGCGAGAAAGCAGGUGAGAAUCCUGCUCGCCGUAAACCUAAGGUUUCCUGGGCAAGGCAAUUCCGCCCAGGGUUAGUCGGUCCCUAAGGCGAGGGCGAAGGCCGUAGUCGAUGGGAAGCAGGUUAAUAUUCCUGCACCACUGUUAGCGUUGAAAGAGGAGUGACGGCGGGUCGAAGUGCGGCCAGUUAUUAGUUCUGGUUGCUGAGUUGGGGUGGCGAAUAGGAAAAUCCGUUCGCGUGAUCUCCGGCUCGGGUGGUAACCGCGUGGAAGUCCGUCCAAGAAAACCUUCGCUGGAGCGAAGCAGUGACCGUACCAAAUCUGACACAGGAGGGUGAGGCGAAUAGCCUCAGGCGCUC
Molecule: ribosomal RNA, 505 nt
Filed under: Tiarina fusus
Lineage: Eukaryota; Ciliophora; Prostomatea; Prorodontida; Colepidae
Description: Tiarina fusa partial Bacterial large subunit ribosomal RNA
Rfam family: Bacterial large subunit ribosomal RNA
Source: RNAcentral